RNAcentral lists this ribosomal RNA (490 nucleotides) under uncultured bacterium. RNAcentral describes it as "partial 16S ribosomal RNA". It matches the Rfam family "Bacterial small subunit ribosomal RNA", at positions 28 to 507 of the family's 1533-position model. The record is from RNAcentral.
AUUGAACGCUGGCGGCAUGCCUUACACAUGCAAGUCGAACGGCAUCGCGGGAAAGCUUGCUUUCCUGGCGGCGAGUGGCGAACGGGUGAGUAACACAUCGGAACGUACCGGCUGGUGGGGGAUAACCCGUCGAAAGACGGCCUAGUACCGCAUACGCUCUUCGGUGGAAAGCAGGGGACCUUUGGGCCUUGCGCUAGUCGAGCGGCCGAUGUCCGAUUAGCUAGUUGGUGGGGUAAAGGCCUACCAAGGCGACGAUCGGUAGCGGGUCUGAGAGGACGAUCCGCCACACUGGGACUGAGACACGGCCCAGACUCCUACGGGAGGAAGCAGUGGGGACUCUUGGACAAUGGGGGCAAGCCGGAUCCAGCAAUGCCGCGUGGGUGAAGAAGGCCUUCGGGUUGUAAAGCCCUUUCGGUAGGGAAGAAAUCGGCGGGGCGAAUAACCCUGCUGGAUGACGGUACCUGGAGAAGAAGCACCGGCUAACUACGUG